RNAcentral lists this ribosomal RNA (560 nucleotides) under uncultured archaeon. Its description in RNAcentral is "bacterial SSU rRNA". It matches the Rfam family "Archaeal small subunit ribosomal RNA", at positions 325 to 881 of the family's 1478-position model. The record is from RNAcentral.
ACGGGGUGCAGCAGGCGCGAAAACUUCACACUGGGGGGAACCCCGAUGAGGGAAAUCCUAGUGCUAGGACAUUUGUUCUAGCUUUUCUCAAGCGUAGAUAACUUGAGGAAUAAGGGCUGGGUAAGACGGGUGCCAGCCGCCGCGGUAAUACCCGCAGCCCAAGUGGUGGUCGAUUUUAUUGAGUCUAAAACGUUCGUAGCCGGUUUGGUAAAUCUUUGGGUAAAUCGGGAGGCUCAACUUUCCGACUUCCGAAGAGACUGCCAAACUUGGGACCGGGAGAGGCUAGAGGUACUUCUGGGGUAGGGGUAAAAUCCUGUAAUCCUAGAAGGACCACCGGUGGCGAAGGCGUCUAGCUAGAACGGAUCCGACGGUGAGGGACGAAGCCCUGGGUCGCAAACGGGAUUAGAUACCCCGGUAGUCCAGGGUGUAAACGCUGCCGACUUGGUGUUGGAGGCCCUUUCGGGGGCAUUCAGUGCCGGAGAGAAGUCGUUAAGUCGGCUACUUGGGGGAGUACGUUCCGCAAAGGAUGAAACUUUAAAGGAAUUGGCGGGGGGGAGCAC